This 109-nucleotide small nuclear RNA is filed under the name Chinchilla lanigera (long-tailed chinchilla). RNAcentral describes it as "U4 spliceosomal RNA (ENSCLAG00000020504.1)". The stretch from base 1 to 80 matches the Rfam family "U4 spliceosomal RNA". From Rfam's summary of the family: U4 small nuclear RNA (U4 snRNA) is a component of the major U2-dependent spliceosome. The structure of U4 snRNA from yeast and human has been reported. U4 snRNA presents a k-turn RNA motif in the 5p-SL related to recognition of Snu13 protein. Lineage: Eukaryota; Metazoa; Chordata; Mammalia; Rodentia; Chinchillidae. The record is from RNAcentral.
UUUACUGCGCAGUGGCAGUAUCAUAGCCAAUGAGGUUUACCUGAGGCACGAUUAUUGCUAAUUGAAAAAAUAUUGCACUAGUCGAGCAUCUUGUGUGUGGAUCGGGAUC